This 253-nucleotide ribosomal RNA is filed under the name uncultured bacterium. Its description in RNAcentral is "partial 16S ribosomal RNA". It matches the Rfam family "Bacterial small subunit ribosomal RNA", at positions 524 to 776 of the family's 1533-position model. The record is from RNAcentral.
UACGGGGGGGGCGAGCGUUGUUCGGAAUUACUGGGCGUAAAGGGUUUGUAGGUGGCCAACUAAGUCAGACGUGAAAUCCCUCAGCUUAACUGGGGAACUGCGUCUGAUACUGGUUGGCUUGAGUGCAGGAGAGGAACGCGGAAUUCCAGGUGUAGCGGUGAAAUGCGUAGAUAUCUGGAGGAACACCGGUGGCGAAGGCGGCGUUCUGGACUGCAACUGACACUGAGAAACGAAAGCCAGGGUAGCAAACGGG